CCUACGGGGUGCUGCAGUGAGGAAUAUUGGUCAAUGGACGAGAGUCUGAACCAGCCAAGUAGCGUGAAGGAUGACUGCCCUAUGGGUUGUAAACUUCUUUUAUAAAGGAAUAAAACGAGGCACGUGUGCCUUUUUGCAUGUACUUUAUGAAUAAGGAUCGGCUAACUCCGUGCCAGCAGCCGCGGUAAUACGGAGGAUCCGAGCGUUAUCCGGAUUUAUUGGGUUUAAAGGGAGCGUAGAUGGGUUGUUAAGUCAGUUGUGAAAGUUUGCGGCUCAACCGUAAAAUUGCAAUUGAUACUGGCAGUCGUGAGUACAGUUGAGGUAAGCGGAAUUCGUGGUGUAGCGGUGAAAUGCUUAGAUAUCACGAAGAACCCCGAUUGCGAAGGCAGCUUACUAAACUGUGACUGACAUUGAUGCUCGAAAGUGUGGGUAUCAAACAGGAUUAGAUACCCUGGUAGUC
This 460-nucleotide ribosomal RNA is filed under the name uncultured bacterium. RNAcentral describes it as "partial 16S ribosomal RNA". It matches the Rfam family "Bacterial small subunit ribosomal RNA", at positions 338 to 795 of the family's 1533-position model. The record is from RNAcentral.